UUGUCCUUAGUUACCAGCACGUUAUGUGGGCGACUCUAAGGAGACUGCCGGUGACAACCGGAGGAAGUGGGGAUGACGUCAAGUCAUCAUGGCCCUUACGGCCUGGGCUACACACGUGCUACAAUGGUCGGUACAAAGGGUUGCCAAGCCGCGAGGUGGAGCUAAUCCCAUAAAACCGAUCGUAGUCCGGAUCGCAGUCUGCAACUCGACUGCGUGAAGUCGGAAUCGCUAGUAAUCGUGAAUCAGAAUGUCACGGUGAAUACGUUCCCGGGCCUU
This 276-nucleotide ribosomal RNA is filed under the name uncultured Pseudomonas sp. Its description in RNAcentral is "partial 16S ribosomal RNA". It matches the Rfam family "Bacterial small subunit ribosomal RNA", at positions 1105 to 1382 of the family's 1533-position model. Lineage: Bacteria; Pseudomonadati; Pseudomonadota; Gammaproteobacteria; Pseudomonadales; Pseudomonadaceae. The record is from RNAcentral.